This 253-nucleotide ribosomal RNA is filed under the name uncultured bacterium. Its description in RNAcentral is "partial 16S ribosomal RNA". It matches the Rfam family "Bacterial small subunit ribosomal RNA", at positions 524 to 776 of the family's 1533-position model. The record is from RNAcentral.
GACAGAGGUGCCGAGCGUUAGGCGGAAUCACUGGGCUUAAAGCGUGUGUAGGCGGAUCGUUAAGUACCUUGUGAAAUCCCACGGCUUAACCGUGGAACUGCUUGGUAUACUGGCGAUCUUGAGCCACCUAGGGGCAACCGGAACAAAUGGUGGAGCGGUGAAAUGCGUAGAGAUCGGAAAGAACACCAACGGUGAAAGCACUCUGCUGGGCCGACACUGACACUGAGAGACGAAAGCUAGGGGAGCGAAUGGG